RNAcentral lists this long non-coding RNA (1987 nucleotides) under Triticum aestivum (bread wheat). Its description in RNAcentral is "long non-coding RNA (TAES_LNC007566)". Lineage: Eukaryota; Viridiplantae; Streptophyta; Magnoliopsida; Poales; Poaceae. The record is from RNAcentral.
UCAUAUAUGACACGGAUAUUCAAUAUGCAGCCAUCCAUUGGUUCAGUUUACAAAAUCCUCCAUGAAAUGAAAUUUACAGAAUAUAUUGACAAGAUAUAUCACACAAGGUCAGGAACCAGUACAAUCCAAUUUACAAGUACAAUCCAAUUUACAACAACAGAAUAUAUGAUACUAUUGAGGUUGUUAUUCACGUUCUUGUCGUCGGCCCUCCUGAUGGUAAGUAUCAUGUCAUGGCGGAUUGUGAUGGCCAGCAUCAAAAAGCACGCUACCCAAUCAUACCUAACAUAUUUACAACAAUAUUAGAUAGUAGAUAGUAGAAAUAAGAGAAUUAGAACAGACUUCAAAAAUAAAUUACUUGUCGUCCAAAGUUCUUAAAUUUUACCAUGACUAAAUAUGAGAAUAACAAAGUAUCUACUUUAAAACAAAAAUAAACAUGAGGUUGUCUAAAAUUAAUCCAAAGAAAAGUGGGUUAAAUGAAAGUCUAAUCAAGUUGACAUAAGUGACAACAUAAUAGAACAUACAUCGGAGAACACAAGUACUCGGCGGUAGUUAAGGCCAUAUAAACCUGCUGAGAAAACGGCAUCACUAACAAACAAUAUCAAUGAAGUGAAGCCGCUGCUCAUCGAUCUGGCGGGCGUAAGCUUCAAUAUUUUUAUGUGUCAACAAGUAUAUACAAGAAACUAAAUGUUUAUCCAAGGCACUUAUAGUAGUAAAAAUCAAUUGCUUGACAAGUAAACUUCAAAUGGCAUGCAAAAUAACUAUGAGCCGUGGCCACUAAUAAAUCUAUAGAACUAAGUGGCAAAUGGUUCUCUUAAGAGACACUGGAUAGGAUGUAUCAGUUAUUGCUCUUAACAACACGCAUGCUGGGGUUACUUUUAAUUCAAGUGCAUGAGAUGAUAAAUUUCACCACCAAGAUCCAAGGGGCAGAAACAAAUUAGUAGAAAAUAACACCAUGGUGAAAAAUGCCUAACUCAGAACUAGAUCAACUAAAUAGGUGCAGUACUGUAGCAGUUGAGCUGAGGAAUGGAAAUACCGGAGAAAUCAUAGGAGUGGCAGUAGAGAACCAACCUAUGGUUGAUCACAGAGCAGCCCCACCACAGUUAUCACGGCCACCCUCUCGAGCUCUAUUGUGCACCGCGCAGCGGCACGGCUGCUAUAGCACCACCUAGACCUACAUCCCAAAAAACAGAGAUCAUAAUCAGGGUGAGUUACAGUGUUAAUUGAUCAUAAAAAAAUGGGAAAGCAUCAGCGAAAAGAUUUAGGAUCAGACAGUAGACAUCAACCCUUGUCGGCCCAUUGCAAAGGGCGACCUGGCUUGGAGGCAGGGAUUACACAGGUUGAAGAAAUGGGUAUCAAUGUGUUGACAAUUGCUAGCUUGGUGUGUGCCUCUAGAUUAAGGGACAGUGAACUAACGUGGCAUUGGUUCUAGUACUAGUAGGCACAUAACUAACAGUAGCAGUACUACAUGUGCUUAGUACACAAAUGAAUAGGUUUAAACCUCUGUAUUAUAACUGUAGAACUGCCACACUGUACUGAUGUAAUUUUCUUCUUAGAUUCAGAUUAAACUUGAUUUUGGUUAUAUAUAUUCACCGAGCUGUUGUUUACAAUAUAGAUAGAAGUGUAUGGAGAAAACUCUAAACAGAACAUGUCGUCAUAUUAACACAGUAACAGAAAUCAUGUCUCCUAUUUGAUGAAAUUAUUCACCACCUGAUUACACUGAUUCAUACUGAAUUAUAUUUUGAUAGAAAACUAAACUGAAUGCAUAUAGUACACUUAAUUAUAUUGAUUUAGAGAACAGAGAUACAUCAAACUGUCCAAAAAUCUAAACUGAAUUAGAUCUGGGUCAAAAAUUAAACAAAAUUAGAAGCCCACAUAGCACAGUGCAGCCGGUUGAUGAACAUGUGCCCUCUGUCUAUACUGGGUACCUUGCAGUGUAAAGAUACAGAGAAAAUUCAGUGUUAAAAUUCAGAGAGGAAACCCGCAAACA